AUUGAACGCUGGCGGCAUGCCUUACACAUGCAAGUCGAACGGCAGCGGGGGAGAAGCUUGCUUUUCCUGCCGGCGAGUGGCGAACGGGUGAGUAAUACAUCGGAACGUGCCCUGUAGUGGGGGAUAACUAGUCGAAAGAUUAGCUAAUACCGCAUACGACCUGAGGGUGAAAGUGGGGGACCGCAAGGCCUCAUGCUAUAGGAGCGGCCGAUGUCUGAUUAGCUAGUUGGUGGGGUAAAGGGCUACCAAGGCGACGAUCAGUAGCUGGUCUGGGCGGACGAUCAGCCCCACUGGGACUGGGACACGGCCCAGACUCCUACGGGAGGCAGCAGUGGGGAAUUUUGGACAAUGGGCGAAAGCCUGAUCCAGCAAUGCCGCGUGUGUGAAGAAGGCCUUCGGGUUGUAAAGCACUUUUGUCCGGAAAGAAAUGGCUCUGGUUAAUACCUGGGGUCGAUGACGGUACCGGAAGAAUAAGGACCGGCUAACUACGUGCCAGCCGCCGCCGUAA
This 508-nucleotide ribosomal RNA is filed under the name uncultured bacterium. RNAcentral describes it as "partial 16S ribosomal RNA". It matches the Rfam family "Bacterial small subunit ribosomal RNA", at positions 30 to 523 of the family's 1533-position model. The record is from RNAcentral.